This 567-nucleotide ribosomal RNA is filed under the name uncultured archaeon. RNAcentral's name for it is "bacterial SSU rRNA". It matches the Rfam family "Archaeal small subunit ribosomal RNA", at positions 311 to 879 of the family's 1478-position model. The record is from RNAcentral.
CGCGAAUUCGCCCUUCGGGGUGCCCAGGCGCGAAAACUUUACAAUGCUGGCAACAGCGAUAAGGGGACCUCGAGUGCCAGGUUACAAAUCUGGCUGUCGUGAUGCCUAAAAAGCAUUGCAUAGCAAGGGCCGGGCAAGACCGGUGCCAGCCGCCGCGGUAACACCGGCGGCUCGAGUGGUAACCGUUAUUAUUGGGUCUAAAGGGUCUGUAGCCGGCCGGAUAAGUCUCUUGGGAAAUCCAGCAGCUCAACUGUUGGGCUUUCAGGAGAUACUGUCUGGCUCGAGGCCGGGAGAGGUGAGAGGUACUUCAGGGGUAGGGGUGAAAUCUUGUAAUCCUUGAAGGACCACCAGUGGCGAAGGCGUCUCACCAGAACGGACCUGACGGCAAGGGACGAAAGCUAGGGGCACGAACCGGAUUAGAUACCCGGGUAGUCCUAGCCGUAAACGAUACUCGCUAGGUGUCGGCCACGGUGCGACCGUUGUCGGUGCCGUAGGGAAGCCGUGAAGCGAGCCACCUGGGAAGUACGGCCGCAAGGCUGAAACUUAAAGGAAUUGGCGGGGGAGCAC